UACGGAGGGUGCAAGCAUUAAUCGGAAUUAUUGGGCGUAAAGGGCGCGUAGGCGGAUAGGCAAGUCAGAUGUGAAAUUUCGGAGCUCAACUUCGAAGCUGCAUUUGAAACUACCAAUCUGGAGGAUAGGCGGAGAAAACGGAAUUCCACGUGUAGCGGUGAAAUGCGUAGAGAUGUGGAAGAACACCUGUGGCGAAAGCGGUUUUCUAGCUUAGACCUGACGCUGAGGCGCGAAAGCAAGGGGAGCAAACAGG
Molecule: ribosomal RNA, 253 nt
Filed under: uncultured prokaryote
Description: partial 16S ribosomal RNA
Rfam family: Bacterial small subunit ribosomal RNA
Source: RNAcentral